AAGUGUUACAGCUCUUUUAGAAUUUGUCUAGCAGGUUUUCUGUCCUCACUGGAAGACCCCA
RNAcentral lists this small nuclear RNA (61 nucleotides) under Propithecus coquereli (Coquerel's sifaka). RNAcentral describes it as "U7 small nuclear RNA (ENSPCOG00000004207.1)". It matches the Rfam family "U7 small nuclear RNA". Rfam says of the family: Animal histone pre-mRNAs are spliced by a different mechanism than nuclear pre-mRNAs and self-splicing introns. The record is from Rfam by way of RNAcentral. Lineage: Eukaryota; Metazoa; Chordata; Mammalia; Primates; Indriidae.